UCGCUCCUACCGAUUGAGUGGUCCGGUGAAUACUUUGGACUGUAGUAGCGUCUGGUUCCUGGAUGUUGCAGCAGGAAAUUGAGUAAACCUUAUCACUUAGAGGAAGGAG
RNAcentral lists this ribosomal RNA (109 nucleotides) under uncultured eukaryote. RNAcentral's name for it is "partial small subunit ribosomal RNA". It matches the Rfam family "Eukaryotic small subunit ribosomal RNA", at positions 1676 to 1785 of the family's 1831-position model. The record is from RNAcentral.